Molecule: RNA transcript, 660 nt
Organism: Homo sapiens (human)
Lineage: Eukaryota; Metazoa; Chordata; Mammalia; Primates; Hominidae
Gene: RPL13AP20
Gene name: ribosomal protein L13a pseudogene 20
Exons: 1
Source: RefSeq, marked provisional
CUUUCCCAAGCGGCUGCCGAAGAUGGCGGAGGUACAGGUCCUGGUGCUUGAUGGUCGAGGCCAUCUCCUGGGCCACCUGGCGGCCAUCGUGGCUAAACAGGUACUGCUGGGCCGGAAGGUGGUGGUUGUAUGCUGUGAAGGCAUCAACAUUUCUGGCAAUUUCUACAGAAACAAGUUGAAGUACCUGGCUUUCCUCCGCAAGCGGAUGAACAGCAACCCUUCCCGAGGCCCCUACCCCCUCCAGGCCCCCAGCCGCAUCUUCUGGCAGACCAUGCGAGGUAUGCCGCCCCACAAGACCAAGCCAGGCCAGGCCGCUCUGGACUGCCUCAAGGUGUUUGACGGCAUCCCACCGCCCUACGACAAGAAAAAGCGGAUGGUGGUUCCUGCUGCCCUCAAGGUUGUGCGUCUGAAGCCUGCAAGAAAGUUUGCCUAUCUGGGGCGCCUGGCUCACGAGGUUGGCUGGAAGUACCAGGCAGUGACAGCCACCCUGGAGGAGAAGAGGAAAGAGAAAGCCAAGAUCCACUACCGGAAGAAGAAACAGUUCAUGAGGCUAUGGAAACAGGCCGAGAAGAACGUGGAGAAGAAAAUUGACAAAUACACAGAAGUCCUCAAGACCCACGGACUCCUGGUCUGAGCCCAAUAAAGACUGUUAAUUCCUCA